This 72-nucleotide transfer RNA is filed under the name Microcaldota archaeon. Its description in RNAcentral is "Candidatus Micrarchaeota archaeon (hot springs metagenome) tRNA-Ala". It matches the Rfam family "tRNA". From Rfam's summary of the family: Transfer RNA (tRNA) molecules are approximately 80 nucleotides in length. Their secondary structure includes four short double-helical elements and three loops (D, anti-codon, and T loops). The record is from RNAcentral. Lineage: Archaea; Nanobdellati; Microcaldota.
GGGCCCGUAGAUCAAUGGUAGAUCGUCCCUUUGGCGUGGGGAAGGCUGCGGGUUCGAAUCCCGCCGGGUCCA